This 948-nucleotide ribosomal RNA is filed under the name uncultured organism. Its description in RNAcentral is "bacterial SSU rRNA". It matches the Rfam family "Bacterial small subunit ribosomal RNA", at positions 13 to 967 of the family's 1533-position model. The record is from RNAcentral.
UUGAUCCUGGCUCAGGAUGAACGUUGGCAGUGUGCCUAAGACAUGCAAGUCGAACGAAGCGCUAGUGCGGAACUCUUCNGGAGGGAAGGAUUAGUGACUGAGUGGCAAACGGGUGAGUAACACGUGGAUGACCUACCCUGAAGUGGGGGAUAACCUUGGGAAACCGGGACUAAUCCCGCAUGUGCUUGUUGGUUGUGACCAAUAAGGAAAGAUUUAUUGCUUUAGGAUGGGUUCGCGGGUCAUCAGCUAGUUGGUGAGGUAAAGGCUCACCAAGGCAACGACGGCUAGCCGGCCUGAGAGGGUGAACGGCCACAGGGGUACUGAGACACGGACCCCACUCCUACGGGAGGCAGCAGUUAGGAAUCUUCCACAAUGGGCGCAAGCCUGAUGGAGCGACACUGCGUGAGGGAAGAAGGCUUUCGGGUUGUAAACCUCUAAAAGUAGGACGAUAAUGACGGUACUACUUGAGAAGCACCGGCUAACUCCGUGCCAGCAGCCGCGGUAAUACGGAGGGUGCAAACGUUAUCCGGAAUCACUGGGCGUAAAGGGCACGCAGGCGGUUAGUUAAGUCCGAUGUUAAAGCGUGGGGCUCAACCCCAUACGGGCGUUGGAUACUGGCUAACUAGACUCUUGGAGAGGUAAGUAGGAUUACCAGUGUAGCGGUGGAAUGCGUAGAUACUGGUAGGAAUACCAAUAGCGAAGGCAGCUUACUAGACAAUGAGUGACGCUGAGGUGCGAAAGUGUGGGGAGCAAACCGGAUUAGAUACCCGGGUAGUCCACACCCUAAACGGUGCAUACUUGGUGUUGGUGCGCAGGCAUCAGCGCCGGAGCAAAACGCGUUAAGUAUGCCGUCUGGGAAGUACGGCCGCAAGGUUUGAAACUCAAGGAAUUGACGGGGACCCGCACAAAGCGGUGGAGCAUGUGGUUUAAUUCGAAGCAACGCGAAGA